GUCGUUACUAAUAAAAUGAAUUGUUGUCUCAUUUUUUUUUUCCUAUAUCGAAAGAAUAUUGGUUGUGUCUAUUUUAAAGAAAAACAGCUGAUUUUAGAAAACAUGUUUCAUCAAUAUACGGUACGUUAAAAUCCACAGAUAAUGAGGACAAUACUUGUGGAGGUUCAAAUGGAUAUAGGAGGUGUGGAGCCUGACAGAUUGUAUAUGUACUUGCAUGUCUAUUGUUAAUACUGAAUGGUGACCUUUACAUGUCAUUG
This 257-nucleotide long non-coding RNA is filed under the name Mytilus galloprovincialis (Mediterranean mussel). Lineage: Eukaryota; Metazoa; Mollusca; Bivalvia; Mytilida; Mytilidae. The record is from RNAcentral.